This 745-nucleotide ribosomal RNA is filed under the name uncultured bacterium. RNAcentral describes it as "bacterial SSU rRNA". It matches the Rfam family "Bacterial small subunit ribosomal RNA", at positions 33 to 773 of the family's 1533-position model. The record is from RNAcentral.
ACGCUGGCGGCAGGCCUAACACAUGCAAGUCGAGCGGUAGAGAGAAGCUUGCUUCUCUUGAGAGCGGCGGACGGGUGAGUAAUGCCUAGGAAUCUGCCUGGUAGUGGGGGAUAACGUUCGGAAACGGACGCUAAUACCGCAUACGUCCUACGGGAGAAAGCAGGGGACCUUCGGGCCUUGCGCUAUCAGAUGAGCCUAGGUCGGAUUAGCUAGUUGGUGGGGUAAUGGCUCACCAAGGCGACGAUCCGUAACUGGUCUGAGAGGAUGAUCAGUCACACUGGAACUGAGACACGGUCCAGACUCCUACGGGAGGCAGCAGUGGGGAAUAUUGGACAAUGGGCGAAAGCCUGAUCCAGCCAUGCCGCGUGUGUGAAGAAGGUCUUCGGAUUGUAAAGCACUUUAAGUUGGGAGGAAGGGCAGUAAAUUAAUACUUUGCUGUUUUGACGUUACCGACAGAAUAAGCACCGGCUAACUCUGUGCCAGCAGCCGCGGUAAUACAGAGGGUGCAAGCGUUAAUCGGAAUUACUGGGCGUAAAGCGCGCGUAGGUGGUUCGUUAAGUUGGAUGUGAAAUCCCCGGGCUCAACCUGGGAACUGCAUUCAAAACUGACGAGCUAGAGUAUGGUAGAGGGUGGUGGAAUUUCCUGCGUAGCGGUGAAAUGCGUAGAUAUAGGAAGGAACACCAGUGGCGAAGGCGACCACCUGGACUGAUACUGACACUGAGGUGCGAAAGCGUGGGGAGCAAAC